CUGAAAGCAUCUAAGCACGAAACCCUCCUCAAGAUGAGAUCUCUUUUAAGGGUCGUUGUAGAUGACGACGUUGAUAGGCUGCAGGUCUAAAGGUGGUAACAUCAAAGCCGAGCAGUACUAAUUACCCGUAAGCUUUCAUUUUUUUUAU
RNAcentral lists this ribosomal RNA (148 nucleotides) under Bacteroidota bacterium. RNAcentral's name for it is "Bacteroidetes bacterium (marine metagenome) partial 23S ribosomal RNA". It matches the Rfam family "Bacterial large subunit ribosomal RNA", at positions 2771 to 2925 of the family's 2925-position model. The record is from RNAcentral. Lineage: Bacteria; Pseudomonadati; Bacteroidota.